GAACGAGAAAGUGGAGCAAUCCAUGAGUAAAGUGGCGACCGGGUGAGUAACACGUGACUAACCUACCUUCGAGUGGGGGAUAACCUAGGGAAACCGGGGCUAAUACCGCAUAACAUCGCAAGAUCAAAGAAGCAAUUCGCUGAAGGAGGGGGUCGCGGCUGAUUAGUUAGUUGGUGAGGUAACGGCCCACCAAGACGAAGAUCAGUAGCCGGCCUGAGAGGGCGCACGGCCACACUGGAACUGAAACACGGUCCAGACUCCUACGGGAGGCAGCAGUGGGGAAUUUUGCGCAAUGGGGGAAACCCUGACGCAGCAACGCCGCGUGGAGGAUGAAGUCCCUUGGGAUGUAAACUCCUUUCGAUCGGGAAGAUUAUGACGGUACCGGAAGAAGAAGCACCGGCUAACUCUGUG
RNAcentral lists this ribosomal RNA (411 nucleotides) under uncultured bacterium. RNAcentral describes it as "bacterial SSU rRNA". It matches the Rfam family "Bacterial small subunit ribosomal RNA", at positions 64 to 507 of the family's 1533-position model. The record is from RNAcentral.